UGCAAGUCGAGCGGACAGAAGGGAGCUUGCUCCCGGAUGUUAGCGGCGGACGGGUGAGUAACACGUGGGUAACCUGCCUGUAAGACUGGGAUAACUCCGGGAAACCGGAGCUAAUACCGGAUAGUUCCUUGAACCGCAUGGUUCAAGGAUGAAAGACGGUUUCGGCUGUCACUUACAGAUGGACCCGCGGCGCAUUAGCUAGUUGGUGGGGUAAUGGCUCACCAAGGCGACGAUGCGUAGCCGACCUGAGAGGGUGAUCGGCCACACUGGGACUGAGACACGGCCCAGACUCCUACGGGAGGCAGCAGUAGGGAAUCUUCCGCAAUGGACGAAAGUCUGACGGAGCAACGCCGCGUGAGUGAUGAAGGUUUUCGGAUCGUAAAGCUCUGUUGUUAGGGAAGAACAAGUGCGAGAGUAACUGCUCGCACCUUGACGGUACCUAACCAGAAAGCCACGGCUAACUACGUGCCAGCAGCCGCGGUAAUACGUAGGUGGCAAGCGUUGUCCGGAAUUAUUGGGCGUAAAGGGCUCGCAGGCGGUUUCUUAAGUCUGAUGUGAAAGCCCCCGGCUCAACCGGGGAGGGUCAUUGGAAACUGGGAAACUUGAGUGCAGAAGAGGAGAGUGGAAUUCCACGUGUAGCGGUGAAAUGCGUAGAGAUGUGGAGGAACACCAGUGGCGAAGGCGACUCUCUGGUCUGUAACUGACGCUGAGGAGCGAAAGCGUGGGGAGCGAACAGGAUUAGAUACCCUGGUAGUCCACGCCGUAAACGAUGAGUGCUAAGUGUUAGGGGGUUUCCGCCCCUUAGUGCUGCAGCUAACGCAUUAAGCACUCCGCCUGGGGAGUACGGUCGCAAGACUGAAACUCAAAGGAAUUGACGGGGGCCCGCACAAGCGGUGGAGCAUGUGGUUUAAUUCGAAGCAACGCGAAGAACCUUACCAGGUCUUGACAUCCUCUGACAACCCUAGAGAUAGGGCUUUCCCUUCGGGGACAGAAUGACAGGUGGUGCAUGGUUGUCGUCACCUCCUGUCCUGA
RNAcentral lists this ribosomal RNA (1032 nucleotides) under Bacillus safensis. RNAcentral's name for it is "bacterial SSU rRNA". It matches the Rfam family "Bacterial small subunit ribosomal RNA", at positions 56 to 1070 of the family's 1533-position model. The record is from RNAcentral. Lineage: Bacteria; Bacillati; Bacillota; Bacilli; Caryophanales; Bacillaceae.